GACGAACGCUGGCGGCGUGCUUAACACAUGCAAGUCGAACGGAAAGGCCCUGCUUUUGUGGGGUGCUCGAGUGGCGAACGGGUGAGUAACACGUGAGUAACCUGCCCUUGACUUUGGGAUAACUUCAGGAAACUGGGGCUAAUACCGGAUAGGAGCUCCUGCUGCAUGGUGGGGGUUGGAAAGUUUCGGCGGUUGGGGAUGGACUCGCGGCUUAUCAGCUUGUUGGUGGGGUAGUGGCUUACCAAGGCUUUGACGGGUAGCCGGCCUGAGAGGGUGACCGGCCACAUGGGGACUGAGAUACGGCCCAGACUCCUACGGGAGGCAGCAGUGGGGAAUAUUGCACAAUGGGCGGAAGCCUGAUGCAGCAACGCCGCGUGCGGGAUGACGGCCUUCGGGUGGUAAACCGCUUUCGCCUGUGACGAAGCGUGAGUGACGGGAAUGGGGAAAGAAGCACCGGCGAACUACGU
RNAcentral lists this ribosomal RNA (467 nucleotides) under uncultured bacterium. RNAcentral describes it as "partial 16S ribosomal RNA". It matches the Rfam family "Bacterial small subunit ribosomal RNA", at positions 28 to 506 of the family's 1533-position model. The record is from RNAcentral.